Non-coding RNA from Acanthosepion pharaonis, 111 nucleotides. Lineage: Eukaryota; Metazoa; Mollusca; Cephalopoda; Sepiida; Sepiidae. The record is from the annotation of a GenBank genome assembly.
CAGCCAUAUCACGUUGAAACACCAGUUACUGUACGACCACUGAAGUUAAGCAACAUCGAGCCUGGUCAGUACCUAGAUGAGUGACCACUUCAGAAUACCAGGUGUUGUAAG